CCUACGGGUGGCAGCAGUGGGGAAUAUUGGACAAUGGGGGGAACCCUGAUCCAGCGACGCCGCGUGAGUGAAGAAGUUUUUCGGUAUGUAAAGCUCUAUCAGCAGGGAAGAAAAUGACGGUACCUGACUAAGAAGCACCGGCUCACUACAGUCCAGCAGCCGCGGUACUACGUAGGGGGCAAGCGUUAUCCGGAGUUACUGGGGGUAAAGGGGGCGUAGACGGUUAAGCAAGUCUGGUGUGAAAGGUUGGGGCCCAACCCCCGGACUGCAUUUGAAACUGUUGGACUGGAGUACAGGAGAGGUAAGCGGAAUUCCUGGUGUAGCGGUGAAAUGCGUAGAUAUUAGGAGGAACACCAGUGGCGAAGGCGGCUUACUGGACUGUAACUGACGUUGAGGCACGAAAGCGUGGGGAGCAAACAGGAUUAGAUACCCGAGUAGUC
Molecule: ribosomal RNA, 440 nt
Filed under: uncultured bacterium
Lineage: Bacteria
Description: partial 16S ribosomal RNA
Rfam family: Bacterial small subunit ribosomal RNA
Source: RNAcentral